This 428-nucleotide ribosomal RNA is filed under the name uncultured bacterium. RNAcentral describes it as "bacterial SSU rRNA". It matches the Rfam family "Bacterial small subunit ribosomal RNA", at positions 355 to 774 of the family's 1533-position model. The record is from RNAcentral.
UGAGGAAUCUUGCGCAAUGGGGGAAACCCUGACGCAGCAACGCCGCGUGAGUGAGGAAGGCCUUCGGGUCGUAAAGCUCUGUCAGAUGGGAAGAAAUGGGUGGGGGCUAAUAUCGUCCAUCCUUGACGGUACCAUCAGAGGAAGCACCGGCUAACUCCGUGCCAGCAGCCGCGGUAAUACGGGGGGUGCAAGCGUUGUUCGGAAUUAUUGGGCGUAAAGCGCGCGCAGGCGGCUUGGUAAGUCAGAUGUGAAAUCCCUGGGCUUAACCCAGGAAGUGCAUUUGAUACUGCCUCGCUAGAGUACGGGAGAGGAAAGUGGAAUUCCUGGUGUAGAGGUGAAAUUCGUAGAUAUCAGGAGGAACACCGGUGGCGAAGGCGACUUUCUGGCCCGAUACUGACGCGCAGGCGCGAAAGCGUGGGGAGCAAACA